ACGAGCGCCACUGGAAAUCGCCGUGAGAAGUAGCCUGUCGUCUCUCUCUCCGUCUUCGGCCCUUUGUCGCGCUUUCCUUCUCUGUCGCAUCGCGUACCGAUUACCACCGGCCGGAGUAGCAAUGAACGACCUGUGCCGCAAUGCCGUUGUACCAUCGGCGACCGUGCGGUUUCUCUCGUUUGGCUGUGCCACGAAAUCGUCGUAGUUGGCGAUCGAGCGGUAAACGCGACCGAUAUCUAACGGUGCCGGUCUCAAGUCGAUGGGAUCGCACGAUCUCUGCGAGCGGCGAGCGUGAAUUCGGGAGACGAGAUCGGAACAAAGUUAAGUCGAAUUUCCAACGGCAAAUUCGUUAAUGCACCGGCAGCCGGUGCCUUUUGUGCGAAGGAUCGGCGAGGGGUCGAAAAAUCGCUCUGGGCAUCGAAAUUAAACCGUCACCGCUCGAUCGUGGCCAA
Molecule: unclassified non-coding RNA, 452 nt
Filed under: Bombus terrestris (buff-tailed bumblebee)
Lineage: Eukaryota; Metazoa; Arthropoda; Insecta; Hymenoptera; Apidae
Description: misc RNA ENSBTSG00005028402.1
Source: RNAcentral